Molecule: long non-coding RNA, 5517 nt
Filed under: Medicago truncatula (barrel medic)
Lineage: Eukaryota; Viridiplantae; Streptophyta; Magnoliopsida; Fabales; Fabaceae
Description: lncRNA gene11093
Source: RNAcentral
CCUUGAAACAUAACAUCAAUUGCAUAACUCAUUUGUGUGGCAGCAAAGUAAGGAAACACACCAACAAAACCUGAUGUGAAAUUCUUAUGAAAAGAAAAAGUAAAAGAAAAAAAGCACUCACUUGAAGUGCAUGUUUGCAACUAGAUUCAUCUAGUAUUUAUGAAAUCUUAGUACACACUUUAACAUAAAGAAACAGAUACAAGUGAAAAAUAUGUAACCAAAAUUUAACCAGUGUUCUGCAUGCCAGCAGCAAUACCCUUCAUGGUAAGAAUGAGUGUGUCUUCCAAACCAGGAGCAUAUUCACUUGUUGGAUUCAAUGUUACAAGUUCAUCAGCUGGUUUACUUGUUUCAGCAGACUCUUUCGAGAUUGGGGGGCGCACCUCCACCUUGUAGUUUGGAUCGCGGAUCCGUUUCAAUGUGUAGGCUUGGAAAACAUUAAGGGUUGUAAUGUAGGAAUCACGGAGUCUGAGUCUUUGCUUCAAGUAGGGAUCACCUUCAAGAACUUCCUUGUGUGCAGCCACCUACCGAUACAGAAGAAUACAAAAUCAGUCUAGUUCUUAGAUGAUGAAAGCGCAAUAUCUAACGAAGACUUAGACUCUAUUUGGAUAAACAACUUACUUAAGUGCUUAUAGCAUAAACAGUUAUCAUAUACUAAAUGCUUAUAUAUAAGCUAUUUCUAUAACAAAAGAUAAAAUAAAGUCAAAGUGUUUUCAUAAGUUAUUAUGGAGAACUUACGGAAAUAAGCUGAAAAUAGCUUACAGGCAUGCCAUAAGCUAUUUCCAUAAGAUCUCCCAAACAGUCUAAUGAUUAUGCAAAUAGAUAAGUUCAAAUAAGUGAUCCAAAUAAGCUCUUAACCACUAAAAAUUGGUCCAAAACUAAUAUAGUAAAAGGAUCAUUACCUGAAGUAGGAGUUUCUUAGUUUCUUCAUAUUUGCUUCGCAACUGUUCCCCAAAUGGCCACAGAUCCUUUGAAACUAGGAGCCUAUCAUUCAAUGCGGCAAUACCAGGGUCUCCCUUGGCAAACACCAUUUCAACUAAAUCAAUUGUAACCCUAAAGAAAGGCCAUUGAUUGUACAUCUCUUGCAGCAUAUGGAGAUUCUUAACAUCCUUCUGAACAACUUGUCUAAAUGCUGCUCCAAAGCCCAGCCAUACUGGAAGAUGAAACCUUGUCUGUGUCCAGGCAAAGAUCCAUGGUAUCGCACGCAGUGUUUCAAUGCCUCCACUAGGCCUUCUCUUUGCCGGUCGACUUCCAAUGUUCAUCCUACCAUACUCCAUCUCUGGUGUAGCCUACAUGACACAAAGUUGACAAAAAUUGUUAUAACCUAAAAGGUUAAAUAUGUUUGUAGUCGUUGCAUAAAAUUCAAACUUUUGAGUUUAGACCUGCAUAAAAUGACAUUCAAAUUAGGGUCAAAUCUGUUUUUUUGACCCUAAUUUGAAUGUCACUUUACUUAACAAUGAAGUAAAAUUUAAUGAUUUUUGAUGUCUUACCAGACGGAAAUACUCAACAAAACGUGGUUCCUUGAACACAAUUGAACGGUAUUCCUCAGUAGCAAUGACAGCCAUCUGAUCCAUCAAGGCGCGCCAUUCUGGUUUUGGAGAGCUUGGGGGACGCAUUCCGUGUUCUAGAGUAGCAGCAGUGAAACGUUGCAGUGUCCUAAAGCACAAGUGUUCCUCACCGAACGACUGUUCAAUAACUUCACCUUGAACUGUCACACGAAGAGAUCCGUGAAUUGUUUCCGGUGGUUGAGACAAGAUGGCAAGAUGAGUAGGUCCACCUCCUCUUCCAACAGUUCCACCACGACCAUGGAACAUGGUUAGCUUAACACCGAAUUUCUGCGCAACUUUGAUGAGGUCCUCCUGAGCCUUAUAUAGCUGCCAUGCUGCAGAAAACCUUCCAGCAUCUUUUCCUGAAUCAGAAUAUCCAAUCAUAACUUCUUGCUUCCCAUCGAUCCGGUUUAUGUACCAGUCUAUGGAGAACAACCGAGCCAAUGCAGCAGGAGCAGACUCAAGAUCGUCAAGCUUCUCAAACAACGGAACGACUCUUAAUGGAUUCCUGACUUUGCAUUCACGUUGAAGAAGUUCAACUGCCAGCACAUCAGAAGGUGCAGUUGCCAUCGAAAUGAUGUAAGCUCCAAAGUUGUCAGAUGGAAGUUCUGCUAUGACACGGAACGUGUCUAAAACAUCUCUAAUUUCAUCGGUUUGGGGUAGGUCAGGUCCAAAAAGUGGCCUUUUGCCAAUCAACUCAGACAAAAGCCAUUCCUGUCUUUUUUCUUCAGACCAUUCUUGGUAGGAUCCAAUUUCCAAAUGUUUGGUAAUGGCAUCCAUCACGUCAGUGUGACGAUCAGACUCUUGCCUUAUAUCAAGCCUUACAAGUGACAGUCCGAAAGUGGAAACUUGCCUCAAGAAAUCAAGAAGGCUUCCAUCGGCAAUUGCACGAUCACCACAAGCACAGAGUGAUCUGUAGCAGAGUUCAAGAGGUUCCAGAAACUACACAAAUUAACUCUAGUUAGUAUCUUUCGAACAAAGAUAAAUUCAUUCAAUCAAAAAAUAGCAUUGUCAGUAUAUAACUAAAUGUUUUUAUUCCAUAAAAAGUACUGUAUAUAGUAAAACAAAGAGAUAUAUACCUCAUCAACAUUGGUGAAUGUGGCUUCUUCAGGAAUUUCAGAAUAGCCAUGAGCUAGGAGAUAACGAGAACGCUCACGAGUACGAUAGAGCUUGUCCCUUACUUCACCGAGUACAACACGGUAUGGUUCAUUCAAAGGAAUUUUUUUCCAGAACUCUACAUCAUGGAAGAAAAUCAAGAUUAUCAAAAAAAUGAACUAAUCAACAUAUCAACACAAAUAUACAUAACUAGCAUUUAAGAUUGUCACCCUUUCAACAAAAAAAACAUUUAAGAUUAUCACCUAUAUAGUGUUUUGCAACUUCAUCUUUCUUGGAAUUCCUGUGAAGUUCUUCUGCGCGAACACGUAGCUCAUCAUUGCAACGCCACAUAGAAAGCUAAAGAAACAAGAAAAGAAAUCAGUUAAAUGGUACUAAAAAAAUAAACUAAUCAAAAUGUUAAUUUCAAAAGGAGAAAAGGGGAGAAAUGUGAAUUACUUCAAACAUAAGAUCUUCUAUCUGUGAAUAAUACAAAUUAGCAGCCAUCAUUCUAGCUAACAAGCAAACAUCCCUUGUCACUUCAGGAGUCACUCUUGGAUUACCUGCAUCAUAUAUUAUCUCAUUUUUUAAAUCACAUUGGAUAUGCGUACGUAUAUACAGGCAUACAUAUAUGGAUAUAACAGAUAAAAAUCAUACCGUCACGAUCACCACCCAUCCAAGAUGAAAAUUGGAUAAGAGGAGCAUUAUAUGGAACACGUUCGUUAAUCCCUAUGUUCUUCAAUGCUGUAUCAACACGGCGAAGAAAUUUAGGGACACCCUUCCAAAUUGUUUCAUGGAAGUAACUCAUGCCAGCCCUCAUCUCAUCUUGUGGAGUUGGUGGAGUCCUCUUGAUUUCAUCAGUACGGAAUGCAGCUUGAAUCUACAAAAUAACAAAAAGUAACACAAGAAAAUCAUUUCAAUUUGGCGAAAAAUCUUAAUAUGUAACAUCAUUUCAAUUCGGUGAAAAAUCAAACAAAAUCAAAAAAGGAUUUGAUGCUCACCUCCCUCUGGAGAGCUUCAUCAAGCUCCUGCUUAUCAUCAGGAGUGAUGUCUUUAGCGUACAAUUGAGAUAAACAGUUCCUUACCCUGUGAAAAGAACAAAAAAAGUUCAAUUUUCUUAUACAUUCUGUUCAAAACUUCAUUUUAAAAGAAAAAUACUACAUUAUGAAACAAACCUUCCGUGCUUUUGAAGCAAAGAUCGACGAACCGACUGAGUAGGAUGAGCAGUAAGAACAAGAUCAACGGUCUGGUUCUUCAAUGCAUCAAAAACUUCCUGAGGAGAUUUCUUCAUGUCAAACACGAGUUUCUUGAGAGUUUCCUCAAUGUCGGAUUCAGUGGUUGCAUUACUCUCAUCCCUAAAAUCUCCCUUCUUCAACUUGUUCCUUCGGCGGUGCGCAAUCUGAACCUCUUCAGCUAAGUUGGCCAAGUUAAGCAUGUGUGAAAAGGACUUGGCAACAACAAUUGAGUCACCUGCAUCGAAACUUGUGAUCAAAUUUCCAAGCUCUUCAAGUUUCUUAGGAUCAUGCUUUCUUUCAUAUUCAGCAGAAAGUUCAUACACUUCUUGAACCUGCACAACAGCAUUUUAGCCUUUCAAUCAUACUGUGAAGAAAAAAAGUUCCGUCUCAUUAUGUCAAAGAGCAUCAAACCCAGUGUUGCAAAUUGCGAAUAACGGAAAAUAAUUGUUGGUUCAAAUUUUACAGAACUAGUGCCGCUAUUGCUGGCAUUUGACAACACUUUGUACUGAAUCGUGUAUCACAGGACAAUAACAAUUUGUCGAACUUAUAGCCGCUAUUCGGCAACACAGAUCAAAGCAAAUUAUAAAAAUAUCUGAACAGAAAAUCGGAUUAUUUCACUAAAUCUACAGUCACAAAGGCCUAAUAGUUCAUGUUUCAUAUCUUUACCGAUAACCUAAUUAAACGUAUAUUCGAAAUAUUUAAAAUUUAAAUAAAAAUAAAAUACUAAACACUGGAUCAAUGAGAAUUUCCCCUCUAUAAAGGUCUUUUUUCCUGUUACAAGUCAAACAUAUAAAAAGAAAUGUUUCCUUAAAACAUUACAAAUCUAUAGAAUUGACCUAAUAUCCAAAAUCUGUCAAAAAAAAUCAAAUUUCCAAUCUUUUUUCUCACCAACCAACCAUAUUGACUUUUAGAACCAAACAGUGAAUAAUCAAAAUCAAAUCUCAGAAUUUUUUUCCAAAUAAUUCAAAUUAAAGAACCAAAAAAGAAGAAGAAAACUCACAGAAUCCUUCAGAUCCUCUCCAUGUAAAUCCUGAAGAAUAUCAAGAAACCGAUCCAACAACAAAGCAUCAUACUCAAUAAGUUUAUCAUCUUCACUCACUUUUGCAGGAACCAAUUGCCUAAGCUGUGCAUCAAUUGAUGCCAUUUUUUCCAUCUUGUUUGCCAUUGUAGCAAUUCACUCUCUCUCACCUAUAAAAACACAAAAUUCAAUAACCCUUCAUGAAAACAUAACACAAAAAACUCAUCAAAAAAGUUAAUUUAAACAAUGGAAAACCAUGAACACAAAACAAAAUCAAGGGGCGAAUCAAAACAACAACAUCCUUAAAUUAUAAUCAAAUCCCGAAAAUUAUGAAAGAGAUUUGACAUGUUGAAUAUCAUCAAUGGAUGACACGUGUACAUAAACAUACUAGUACUAGUGUUACAUGUACAACAUAUAUAUUUUCAUAAAAAAACAAAUAAGAAAAAAAGUACAAUAACAUAGGAUUUUUAUUAUCCUAGGAAAACAUGUUAUGUUAUGAAACAUGUAUGUAACAAAAAAAAAAACAUGGGAUUUGUUGCAUGACAUAUGAUGAAUGAUAAAAAAGUUAUUAGUACCGUGUUGUGUGCCAGACAGUUAGAUACGAAGAAGAAGAUGAUGACAAGGAAUG